AUACUCUGGUUUCUCUUCAUCUCGUAUAAAUCUUUCGCCUUUUACUAAAGAUUUCCGUGGAGAGGAGCGUUUACGAGUUUAAAUAAUUUUUUGAUGCUUUGCGUCAGCAAGGCU
Erpetoichthys calabaricus (reedfish) is the source of this 114-nucleotide small nuclear RNA. Its record names the gene U5. It matches the Rfam family "U5 spliceosomal RNA". From Rfam's summary of the family: U5 RNA is a component of both types of known spliceosome. NCBI's taxonomy places the organism in Eukaryota, Metazoa, Chordata, Cladistia, Polypteriformes, Polypteridae. The record is from Ensembl.